This 777-nucleotide ribosomal RNA is filed under the name Triticum aestivum (bread wheat). RNAcentral's name for it is "partial small subunit ribosomal RNA". Lineage: Eukaryota; Viridiplantae; Streptophyta; Magnoliopsida; Poales; Poaceae. The record is from RNAcentral.
AUGUUCUGGCCAGUUGAUGCACAAAGGGUCCUUGCAAUUCCUUUGUCACAACAUGAUAUGUUGGAUUUUGUCGCUUGGAGCUAUUCAAAGAAUGGAACUUUUUCUGUUUGAUCAGCCUAUGCAGUGCAAUGGGAACACCAACACGGUGGAAAAUUAAGAAGAACCGAUGAUAUGGGACAUAUGACUAUCAAUCCUAUUUGGAGUGAGAUUUGGAAAUUAUCUUGUCCAUUGAAGGUUAAAAUUUUCAUUUGGCGCACACUGCAUGGCACCCUCCCGUGUAGAGUUAAUUUGGCGAAUAGACAUAUAAAGGUUAUCCCCAAUUGUCCGGCGUGUUCCUUUGGAUUAGAGGAUACAAAACAUAUAUUAUUUCAGUGUCGGAAAGCAAAGGAGGUUCGGAAAAAACUGGGUCUAGAUCAGGUCACUAAAAGAGCGUGCAAAGUUGAUUAUGUUGGUGAGCCGGUGCUUGAAUUUUUGCUUUCUAUGCCUGAACGGGAGCUUAUGAUCUUGGGUAUGCCGGAUGUCCUUGAAUUAAUUGUAAUUUCAGCUUGGUAUUUAUGGUGGAAGAGGCGAAAACUGGUCCAUAAGGAGAAAACCCAAGACGCUAACCAGAUCUCCAUGGGAAUUCGUGCAAUUACGCUAAACUAUGUUUUGGCUAUAUCACCAAAGGCUACGAUGAAAAGAGGAGGUUGGGUCCAACCUCCAAGGGGGUUUGUAAAACUUAAUGUGGAUGCCUCUUUUGAUCAUGACCGACUCGGGGGCACGGCUGUUGCUAUUUAG